CCCACCCGCGGCUGCCCCUCCCGCCCCCCGCCUUGGGCCUUGAUUCCAAGAUUUCGGCCCAGCCGGCAUUCCUGAACAGAGGAGCUUUCGGAACCGGGAACUUAACCCCGCAGCCCGGAGGACCAGCCCAGGCAGCAGACAAAAGAGACGGCGGUGGCCGAAAGGUAAGUCGUGAGUCCCUACCUCAGCCUGGAAGUAAACCUGGAAGACAGGGGAGCAGCGAUGACGAGUCAGAGAUGAUCAACUGGUUUCUGAAUGGGGAUCACAGAGGAAACGUCAGUUAACUCACCUUCAGAGUCUCCCUGCAAAGACUUUGGAGGGAGCUAAGCCUAGCAGGACACUUGCCACCGGAACAUUCCAAGUCAAAACUAUACCUGCAAACUCCAUCCCAUCGCUAAGUUCAACCUGGCAAAUAAUAAUAAUUUAUAACACUG
RNAcentral lists this long non-coding RNA (434 nucleotides) under Ornithorhynchus anatinus (platypus). RNAcentral's name for it is "lncRNA (ENSOANG00000033032.2)". Lineage: Eukaryota; Metazoa; Chordata; Mammalia; Monotremata; Ornithorhynchidae. The record is from RNAcentral.